GGCAAAAGAGUCGUAAGCGAGGGCACCAGAUAACAUCGACUGGGACACGGUGUUUCAUCUCUCUCUCUCUCUCUCUCUCUCUGGUCGCGCGCUCUCCUCCUCGCUCUCACUUCCUCUCCCGAUUUUUUACCUACUUGUCGAAGAAGUUUGAACAACCACCAAACUGCCUUAAAUGGAAGUAAAGGCAAUGGAAGUGAAGAAAAUUAUAGCAAUAUGCCAAUCUGGUGGGGAGUUUGUGACCAACAAAGACGGGUCUUUGUCGUACUCCGGGGGUGAGGCCUUUGCUAUAGACAUUGAUCAGCACACUCAGUUGAAUGAUUUCAAGUUGGAAAUAGCAGAAAUGUUUGAUUUUAGUGUUGAUAAUAUGAUUAUCAAGUAUUUCCUUCCUGGUAAUAAGAAGACCCUCAUCACAAUUUCCAAAGACAAGGAUUUGCAGCGCAUGGUGAAUUUUCUGGGUGAUUCUGUCACUGUUGACGUGUUUAUCAUGCCAGAGGAGGCUGCAGCCCGAAAUGUAUCCAAUAUGCCUGCUAGUAGGUCGAGCAGGACGACUGUGUCGGAAACAGUGCUUCCUGUAGUUGCCCCUCUUAAUAUUCAAGAUGAUGCAGCUAAUGGCAAUAAUUGUAUGGAUAUCGACAUAGUCAGUGGAACCCCUAUAAGCUACCUUGCUGGUUCAGAUGAUGACAAGCAUCGUAAAGCUGCACAACAGUGGGAAAACACCAUCACUGGUGUUGACCAAAGAUUUAACAGUUUCAGUGAAUUCCGAGAAGCUCUGCAUAAAUACUCAAUUGCACAUGAGUUUGCUUAUAGAUAUAAGAAAAAUGACAGCCAUCGCGUCACUGUCAAAUGCAAAUCCCAAGGUUGUCCUUGGCGAAUAUAUGCAUCAAGGUUGUCUACGACCCAGUUGAUUUGUAUCAAGAAAAUGAACACACAACAUACAUGUGAAGGAGCUGCUGUAAAAGCUGGGUAUCGCGCAACUAGGGGUUGGGUGGGAAGUAUCAUAAAGGAGAAGUUGAAAGUUGCCCCAAACUACAAGCCAAAGGAUAUUGCAGAUGACAUCAAACGAGAGUAUGGGAUUCAAUUAAAUUAUUCUCAGGCAUGGCGUGCAAAAGAGAUUGCAAGGGAGCAGCUUCAAGGUUCUUAUAAAGAGGCAUAUAAUCUGUUGCCCUUUUUCUGUGAGAAGAUAAAGGAAACUAACCCGGGGAGUGUCGCCACAUUUACCACUAAGGAUGACUCAAGCUUCCAUCGUCUCUUUGUAUCAUUCCAUGCCUCAAUGUCUGGUUUUCAGCAAGGAUGUCGCCCUCUCCUUUUCCUUGAUAGCACUUCACUAAAUUCGAAAUACCAAGGGGUUCUAUUAUCUGCAACAGCUGUUGAUGGCGAUGAUGGUAUCUUUCCAAUAGCCUUCGCUGUUGUUGACGCAGAGACUAAGGAAAACUGGCAUUGGUUUGUAAUGGAACUUAAAUCUGCAGUGUCAACGUCUCAGCAGAUUACAUUUGUUGCUGAUUUUCAGAAUGGUUUAAAGGAGUCAUUGGCUGAGAUAUUUGAUAAAUGCUACCACAGCUAUUGCUUACGUCAUCUUGCUGAGAAACUUAAUAAGGACUUGAAGGGGCAAUUUUCUCAUGAGGCAAGGCGAUUUAUGAUUAAUGAUUUAUAUGCAGCUGCUUAUGCACCCAAACUUGAUGGUUUUAAUCGUAGUGUUGAGAACAUUAAAGGGAUUUCUCCUGAAGCUUACAAUUGGGUCAUACAAAGUGAGCCGGAGCACUGGGCAAAUGCAUUUUUUGGGGGAGCAAGGUAUAACCUAAUGACAUCAAACUUUGGACAACAAUUCUACAGUUGGGUAUCGGAAGCGCAUGAGUUGCCAAUAACACAGAUGAUUGAUGCAUUGCGAGGUAAGAUGAUGGAAUCUAUCUAUAUGCGUAGGGUAGAUUCCAGUCAAAGGACAACAAAGUUAACACCAUCUAAAGAAGAAAGGCUACAAAAGGAAACUUCAUUAGCUCAAUCACUUCAAGUGUUACACUCACAUGGUAACACAGUUGAGGUUCGCGGAGAAUCUGUUGAUGUAGUUGAUAUUGAUCAUUGGAAUUGUAGCUGCAAGGAAUGGCAAUUAACUGGUUUGCCUUGCUGCCAUGCUAUUGCUGUCUUUGACUGCAUUGGUAGGAGCCCAUAUGAUUAUUGUUCCAGAUACUUCACAGUCGAAAAUUACCGUUUAACAUAUGCGGAGUCCAUUCACCCAGUUCCAAAUGUAGACAGACCAAUCGAGGGUGAAUCAGUUGAUGCAAUAGUUACUGUAACCCCUCCACCUACAAAACGACCACCAGGCCGACCAAAGAUGAAGCAGGCUGAAUCCAUAGACAUUAUUAAACGCCAGCUCCAGUGUAGCAAGUGCAAGGGCCUAGGCCACAAUAAGAAGACAUGCAAAGAUUCCUAGUAGAAAUGUUAGGACAUUGUUAAUUAGAUUCAGCAUCAAAACGGCAGCAUUUUAAAAAGAGACAGCAAAGACAUGACGCUUGGUAUCUUCUUUGUCCAAUGUAUGAACCUGUACUGAGUUUUUCCUUCUGAUCAGCAAACCAUGUUCUGGCCUGGGAAAAUUAGAUGCAAUUUGAGCUAGUAAUCAGGAGCUUUUCUUGCUGAAGAGAUGACCUUGAUGUUAAUGUUGGUAUCUUACUGGUGAUUUUGUGGUGUCUGGGAGCGCUCUCACAACACACCUUACAUCAGUUUCGGACAACAGCCAUUUUCCCUACACCCAAACCUUUAUAUAGAUCAGCAUAUGUUGUAGACACGUGAAGGCUUCAUGGUGAUUCUAUUGACCUCUAUAUUUUUUACUUUUAACAUCAGGGCAAGAUGCUGUUUCCACCUGCAAAUCAAAUGGUGUUUUACACUUUGCAUCCAAAACUACCAAAACGAACAUAUAACACGUUCAGACUGCUAAAAAAUUGCAAUGUGCACCAUUUGUUCAGAUUCAUCCAUCUUAAGGACCAUAAUUGGACAAGUUUGCUACUUGCUAUUAUCAGUGUUAGUAGUUAGAGGGUAUGACGUGUCAGUUUUGAUAGUUUUGUAAGGUAUAAAACAUCCUCUAGUAUGUGGGUGGAAACUGUUUUUUCCUCACUAUAUUCUUAUAAAAUUGUACUGUUGUUACCUUCCAUGUUCUACAGUAGACUUGUAUGAGCAAAAUUCUGAUUUCUUUUGGCCAGAAAUUAACUUGCAGAUGGCUCUCCUUUUUGAAAACCUGUAAAGAGGAUUGCGUCUACUGUUUCCACAGUUAUAACCAUCUCUUCCUUGAUGAUUAUUAUAGCCUUCUUUUUCUUUUUUCUUUUUUUUUUUUUUUUUUUUUUUUUUUUUUUUUUUUUUUUUUCCUAGAUAGAUUAUUAUAGCCUUCUUGAUAUACUUGACAGUACAUAUUUGUGAGCAGAAACGUAUUGCAACAUUCAUUGGGCCAAACAUGUAACUUGAAGAGCUCUCCCAGCUGAAAUAUGCAAAUUGAUUUUGCUCUUAUUUUGGAGUUGUAACCAUUACCUCCUUGAUAUAUGUUAUAAGUUAUAACCUUCAACAUUCUA
This is an RNA transcript of Carya illinoinensis, 3551 nucleotides long. RefSeq lists it as uncharacterized. The record is from RefSeq and is a predicted model, not a curated record. The transcript has 5 exons. NCBI's taxonomy places the organism in Eukaryota, Viridiplantae, Streptophyta, Magnoliopsida, Fagales, Juglandaceae.